AUGUUGAAGCCCGAAGAUGGCGCCAGCUGCUGCUCUGGCUGUUCCGCCUCGUCCUCCUCCGGAUCCGACACCUCCAUCGGAGCCGUUUACUGCUCCUGUCCCUCCUCCGCCGCCGCCUGCAACUCCUCCUCCUCUUCCGACUCCGGUGAGUCCGGAAGCAGCCAGCUGCGAUGUGGGCGGCGCGCGGUGCGCCUCGCUCGGAUCUCUUGCUUGAUCUGGUACCAGCGCUCUAGCAUGAGAAUAGCGUACAUGGUUUCGGACCACAUAGCGAAGCCAGAGAGCGUCAGAAAAGCAUCGGAGCGGGAGAGAGGAGGUGGAUGGGCUCGGGCUGGCGACGCGAAGAGGGAGGAGGUGGAUGGGCUAGGAUUGGGUGACGUCGACCGGCUUAAAUAG
RNAcentral lists this ribosomal RNA (393 nucleotides) under Triticum aestivum (bread wheat). Its description in RNAcentral is "partial small subunit ribosomal RNA". Lineage: Eukaryota; Viridiplantae; Streptophyta; Magnoliopsida; Poales; Poaceae. The record is from RNAcentral.